GUUUUAAUAGUUUAAAUAAAACAUUGGUUUUGUAUACCAAAAAUAAUAAAGUUUUAAAACU
RNAcentral lists this transfer RNA (61 nucleotides) under Metallyticus sp. Its description in RNAcentral is "tRNA-Thr". The record is from RNAcentral. Lineage: Eukaryota; Metazoa; Arthropoda; Insecta; Mantodea; Metallyticidae.